This 253-nucleotide ribosomal RNA is filed under the name uncultured bacterium. RNAcentral describes it as "partial 16S ribosomal RNA". It matches the Rfam family "Bacterial small subunit ribosomal RNA", at positions 524 to 776 of the family's 1533-position model. The record is from RNAcentral.
UACAGAGGUCUCGAGCGUUAGGCGGAAUCACUGGGCUUAAAGCGUGUGUAGGCGGAUGCCUAAGUACCUUGUGAAAUCCCACGGCUUAACCGUGGAACUGCUUGGUAUACUGGGUGUCUUGAGCCACUCAGGGGCGAGCGGAACAAAUGGUGGAGCGGUGAAAUGCGUAGAUAUCAGGAGGAACACCGGUGGCGAAGGCGGAUCUCUGGGCCUUACCUGACGCUGAGGCGCGAAAGCUAGGGGAGCGAACAGG